CACAAGGCCAUCUCCACCUUGUAGCCUGGACUCUUUCAGGGGAACCUGGCACUUCGGAGGACUAUCGCAGAGAUCUAAGGAACUCCUCUGGGAUUCGUGGGCCCCUGGAACUAGAAGAUGCUAUCUUUCCUCCUGGAACACUUGGUGCAAUUGGUGCCUGGAAUGGAAUACCGAUCCCCUUACGGCCCCUAGACAGUUCAUUUUGAAUUUCCUCUCUCAUCUAUUCAAUCUAGGCCGUUCCUACAGAUCCAUCAACGUUUCCCGUUCAGCCAUCUCAGCAGCCCAUGUUCCUCUAGACGGAGUUCCGGUGGGCCAGGACCAGCUGGUUUGUAGACUAUUG
Non-coding RNA from Pelobates cultripes (western spadefoot toad), 340 nucleotides. Lineage: Eukaryota; Metazoa; Chordata; Amphibia; Anura; Pelobatidae. The record is from the annotation of a GenBank genome assembly.